RNAcentral lists this ribosomal RNA (850 nucleotides) under Frigoribacterium sp. 1056G49. Its description in RNAcentral is "bacterial SSU rRNA". It matches the Rfam family "Bacterial small subunit ribosomal RNA", at positions 56 to 916 of the family's 1533-position model. The record is from RNAcentral. Lineage: Bacteria; Bacillati; Actinomycetota; Actinomycetes; Micrococcales; Microbacteriaceae.
UGCAGUCGAACGGUGAAGGAGGAGCUUGCUUCUUUGGAUCAGUGGCGAACGGGUGAGUAACACGUGAGUAACCUGCCCCAGACUCUGGGAUAAGCACUGGAAACGGUGUCUAAUACCGGAUACGAGCUUCAGCCGCAUGGCUAGGAGCUGGAAAGAAUUUCGGUCUGGGAUGGACUCGCGGCCUAUCAGCUAGUUGGUGAGGUAAUGGCUCACCAAGGCGACGACGGGUAGCCGGCCUGAGAGGGUGACCGGCCACACUGGGACUGAGACACGGCCCAGACUCCUACGGGAGGCAGCAGUGGGGAAUAUUGCACAAUGGGCGCAAGCCUGAUGCAGCAACGCCGCGUGAGGGACGACGGCCUUCGGGUUGUAAACCUCUUUUAGUAGGGAAGAAGCGAAAGUGACGGUACCUGCAGAAAAAGCACCGGCUAACUACGUGCCAGCAGCCGCGGUAAUACGUAGGGUGCAAGCGUUAUCCGGAAUUAUUGGGCGUAAAGAGCUCGUAGGCGGUUUGUCGCGUCUGCUGUGAAAACUGGAGGCUCAACCUCCAGCCUGCAGUGGGUACGGGCAGACUAGAGUGCGGUAGGGGAGAUUGGAAUUCCUGGUGUAGCGGUGGAAUGCGCAGAUAUCAGGAGGAACACCGAUGGCGAAGGCAGAUCUCUGGGCCGUAACUGACGCUGAGGAGCGAAAGCAUGGGGAGCGAACAGGAUUAGAUACCCUGGUAGUCCAUGCCGUAAACGUUGGGAACUAGAUGUAGGGACCAUUCCACGGUUUCUGUGUCGCAGCUAACGCAUUAAGUUCCCCGCCUGGGGAGUACGGCCGCAAGGCUAAAACUCAAAGGAAUUGACGG